This 253-nucleotide ribosomal RNA is filed under the name Sutterella parvirubra YIT 11816. RNAcentral's name for it is "partial 16S ribosomal RNA". It matches the Rfam family "Bacterial small subunit ribosomal RNA", at positions 524 to 776 of the family's 1533-position model. The record is from RNAcentral. Lineage: Bacteria; Pseudomonadati; Pseudomonadota; Betaproteobacteria; Burkholderiales; Sutterellaceae.
UACGUAGGGUGCAAGCGUUAAUCGGAAUUACUGGGCGUAAAGCGUGCGCAGGCGGUUCUGUAAGAUAGAUGUGAAAUCCCCGGGCUUAACCUUGGAAUUGCAUUUAUGACUGCAGGACUCGAGUUUGUCAGAGGGGGGUGGAAUUCCAAGUGUAGCAGUGAAAUGCGUAGAUAUUUGGAAGAACACCGAUGGCGAAGGCAGCCCCCUGGGACAUGACUGACGCUCAUGCACGAAAGCGUGGGGAGCAAACAGG